Molecule: ribosomal RNA, 468 nt
Filed under: uncultured bacterium
Lineage: Bacteria
Description: partial 16S ribosomal RNA
Rfam family: Bacterial small subunit ribosomal RNA
Source: RNAcentral
GACGAACGCUGGCGGCGUGCUUAACACAUGCAAGUCGAACGGAAAGGCCCUGCUUUUGUGGGGUUCUCGAUUGGCGAACGGGUGAGUAACACGUGAGUAACCUGCCCUUGACUUUGGGAUAACUUCAGGAAACUGGGGCUAAUACCGGGUAGGAGCUCCUGCUGCAUGGUGGUGGUUGGAAAGUUUCGGCGGUUGGGGAUGGACUCGCGGCUUAUCAGCUUGUUGGUGGGGUAGUGGCUUACCAAGGCUUUGACGGGUAGCCGGACUGAGAGGGUGACCGGCCACACUGGGACUGAGAUACGGCACAGACUCCUACGGGAGGCAGCAGUGGGGAAUAUUGACGAAUGGGCGGAAGCCUGAUGCAGCAACGCCGCGUGCGGGAUGACGGCGUUCGGGUUGUAAACCGCUUUCGCCUGUGACGAAGCGUGAGUGACGGUAAUGGGUAAAGAAGCACAGGCUAACUACGUG